GUGGAGCAUGUGGUUUAAUUCGAAGCAACGCGAAGAACCUUACCAAGUCUUGACAUCCCGGUGACCGUUCCGUAAUGGGAACCUUUCUUCGGAACACCGGUGACAGGUGGUGCAUGGUUGUCGUCAGCUCGUGUCGUGAGAUGUUGGGUUAAGUCCCGCAACGAGCGCAACCCCUGUCCUUAGUAGCCAGCGCGUAAAGGUGGGCACUCUGGGGAGACUGCCAGGGAUAACCUGGAGGAAGGCGGGGAUGACGUCAAAUCAUCAUGCCCCUUAUGACUUGGGCUACACACGUGCUACAAUGGCGUAAACAAAGGGAAGCGAAGCCGUGAGGCCUGGCAAAUCUCAAAAAUAACGUCUCAGUUCGGACUGUAGUCUGCAACCCGACUACACGAAGCUGGAAUCGCUAGUAAUCGCAGAUCAGAAUGCUGCGGUGAAUACGUUCCCGGGUCUUGUACACACCGCCCGUCACACCAUGGGAGUUGGUAAUGCCCGAAGUCAGUGACCCAACCGUAAGGAGGGAGCUGCCGAAGGCAGGAUCGAUAACUGGGGUGAAGUCGUAACA
Molecule: ribosomal RNA, 562 nt
Filed under: uncultured Bacteroidota bacterium
Lineage: Bacteria; Pseudomonadati; Bacteroidota
Description: bacterial SSU rRNA
Rfam family: Bacterial small subunit ribosomal RNA
Source: RNAcentral